This 794-nucleotide long non-coding RNA is filed under the name Fukomys damarensis (Damara mole-rat). Its description in RNAcentral is "lncRNA (ENSFDAG00000022410.1)". The record is from RNAcentral. Lineage: Eukaryota; Metazoa; Chordata; Mammalia; Rodentia; Bathyergidae.
GAAAUCAAGAGCUGCUUACUGUGUUAGUACACAGAUCUAACUUUCACUCUUCUUUUAGAAUAAGACAGUUUGGGAUAAAAAAUGGAAAAUCAGUGCUGUGUAUUCUUUGAAUGUUUCUUGGAAUAUGACUAAAUAAAGCUGUCCCAUUUAGAGAAUGGAACUUGAUUUUUUCCCCCUAGAUCAGAUGCAUACGACUACCGGAAAUACCACAGUUAGCAUCCAAUGACCAAAUAUACCAUUGCCUAAGGACUGUUGUUGUUAACGUUGAUCUUUACAGAUUAUACCCAGAGCUUCACACAUGCCAGGCAAGGGUCUACCACUGAGCUUCCUGCUCCAGCCCAGACUGUUGGAGGAAUCUACCCACAGUGUUUUUCCAACAAUGCAUUUGACACCAUUAUGUGAUUCUAAAUCCAGGAACCACAGGGAAACAGAAAUUGAGAGGUGGCAUCGAGAAGCUAAUUUCGAUCCUGACCUCCAAGGACAGAGUGUUGCAUUCACGUCAGUAUCUCUCAGGAGAGUCAGGCCCAAUCUCUGAAAGCACAGGAGACACUGUAACGUGAGUCUUGCUGCUGUCGGGUAGAGUUGGCAAGCACAGGUUAAGGAUCCUGCCACGUGACUCAAAGAAGCCUGAUGUAAAGCAGCAGGAGAUGGGGGAAAGAGCAAGUCCUUUCUCCUCCAGAUGUGAAGGAUUCCUGCAGCUCUCACGAUCAGCAGAGCCUAACUUGGAGCCAGAGGAAAAGAAAAAUGGUAAGUUCAGAUUUCCAGUCCCAGCUUGAUAAAUCAGAUUAGAGAUU